AGAGUUUGAUCCUGGCUCAGAUUGAACGCUGGCGGCAUGCCUUACACAUGCAAGUCGAACGGCAGCACGGGGGCAACCCUGGUGGCGAGUGGCGAACGGGUGAGUAAUACAUCGGAAUGUACCCAGUAGUGGGGGAUAACUAGUCGAAAGAUUAGCUAAUACCGCAUACGCACUAUGGUGGAAAGCGGGGGAUCGCAAGACCUCGCGCUAUUGGAGCAGCCGAUGUCCGAUUAGGUAGUUGGUGGGGUAAAAGCCUACCAAGCCUGCGAUCGGUAACUGGUCUGAGAGGACGACCAGUCACACUGGGACUGAGACACGGCCCAGACUCCUACGGGAGGCAGCAGUGGGGAAUUUUGGACAAUGGGCGGAAGCCUGAUCCAGCCAUGCCGCGUGAGUGAAGAAGGCCUUCGGGUUGUAAAGCUCUUUCGGCGGGGAAGAAAUUGCUUGGGUUAAUACCCUGAGUAGAUGACGGUACCCGAAUAAGAAGCACCGGCUAACUACGUG
Molecule: ribosomal RNA, 504 nt
Filed under: uncultured bacterium
Lineage: Bacteria
Description: bacterial SSU rRNA
Rfam family: Bacterial small subunit ribosomal RNA
Source: RNAcentral